Trachemys scripta elegans is the source of this 1620-nucleotide long non-coding RNA. RefSeq lists it as uncharacterized. Lineage: Eukaryota; Metazoa; Chordata; Testudines; Emydidae. The record is from RefSeq and is a predicted model, not a curated record. The transcript is spliced from 4 exons.
AAGUAGGAACCCUUAUUUAGUAGAAUCUAGUACUUGAAAGGGAAUAUGCUUUUGUUACUUCUAAUGAGUGGUCAUCACACAGGGUCUGGACUGGAAGAUCAUUUAAUCCCAAUUGCUGGGACUUCACACUUGAACUCCCAAAGCUAAUGGGACAUAUUCCCAGUUAUUACACUGGGGUGCACAUACCCUUCAUUGGAAUAGGUACCAGUGAGAGAGAGCUGGCAGACAGACUGCUUUUAGACUGUGAGAUAAGAAAGGGCUUUUAAAUAAUAUUUCAAUACUGGGUGACUCCACUGAGUACCGUCUUAGAUAUACUUUCUAUGACUUGCCAUAAUUAUUUUUACCUUUCAUUUACUUAAUGAUUAUCUAUUUCUGUGCAGUUGCUAAUAAAAAUAUUAUUUUAUUUAAGAGAAUUUAAAUUGGGUCUCAUAACUUAUCUGGGGAAAUAGCAGACAUUCCAAAAGAGGGAAUAAAGUGCUCAGGUCUAUCAAGGGAGACUGAGAAAUGAAUAGGUAUAGGUCUUGAGUAGAGAAGAGGCUUUGGCCUCCCUCUCAAAACAGUGUCCUAGAAGGACUGUCAAGGGUCUCUGUGAGCAUGAAAGAGCUUGAACAAUCUAGACCAGGUGUUUUCAAUCUUUUCCUUAGUGUGGUCCACAUCUUAAAGACAUUCUAUGGGGCCCUUCCCUCCCAUUCAUACUUGCACACACCACCUUCCUCUCUGUCCACUGGUGAUCAAAUAGCAUCCAUCAAGGGUGACCAGAUAGCAAGUAAGAAAAAUCGGGACAGGGUGUGGGGGGUGAUAGGCGCCUAUAUAACAGCCCCUAAUAUCAGUACUGUCCCUAUAACAUCGGGACAUCUGGUCACCCUACAUCCAUCAGACAAGUACAGCAAAAAAGUUAUAUGGAGGAAAAUAUGUAAUGGGGUUAUUUUUAGUUUCCUUUACUGUGAUUUAGCAACCGAAAUUGACAUUGCCAUUUCGAAUUAGGGUUAGUGUGGCCGCAAUUCGACGGUAUUGGCCUCCGGGAGCUAUCCCACAGUGCACCAUUGUGACCUCUCUGGACAGCAAUCUGAACUCGGAUGCACUGACCAGACAUCCACCCACGACGAUGCAGGGAAGAAGAGCUGCAAGAAGAACAAGACAGAGCUUCCAUCAGUCUGUACCUGAAGUCCUGCCUUCCACCUGCCUUGCCAUCUGGAUCAGAUCCGGAGCCAGUCCUGUCAUGCCCGUGCCAGGGAUAAAGCUGCAGGAUAUGGUUCUCCAAGUUUCUAGGAAUGAAAUUUCUUGUGGGGAGUUCAGUCUUUAAGCAAUAUGUUGGCACUUGACUGCUAUCCAUUACUGGAUUUGUCUAAUUUUCGCAGCAGCAGAUGGCUCCUGCAAUGCAUGUGUUGUGCUCUAAAAGCUUGAAAAUGUAUGCCAUGUCAAACAAAGUACUGGGUUCUACAGAAAAGCAAAAGUAGAGUAAGGAAGCAAGAGCUACCAGGUUUGGAACACUGCAGUCACUACUCCCCUGGCCUGACCCACUCCUAUUCAAGCCCCCAAGACCAGCAUCUGUGGGGCCAGCACAAAGACCAUUUCUACAACACACAGAUGGUGUGUGUGUUCAUCUACAUAGUUCCAAUG